AAUAGAUACCCGGGUAGUCCACGCCGUAAACGAUGAAUGCUAGGUGUUAGGGGUUUCGAUACCCUUGGUGCCGAAGUUAACACAUUAAGCAUUACGCCUGGGGAGUACGGUCGCAAGACUGAAACUCAAAGGAAUUGACGGGGACCCGCACAAGCAGUGGAGUAUGUGGUUUAAUUCGAAGCAACGCGAAGAACCUUACCAGGUCUUGACAUCCCCCUGACCGGUCUAGAGAUAGGCCUUUCCUUCGGGACAGAGGAGACAGGUGGUGCAUGGUUGUCGUCAGCUCGUGUCGUGAGAUGUUGGGUUAAGUCCCGCAACGAGCGCAACCCUUGAUUUUAGUUGCCAGCACUUCGGGUGGGCACUCUAGAAUGACUGCCGGUGACAAACCGGAGGAAGGCGGGGAUGACGUCAAAUCAUCAUGCCCCUUAUGACCUGGGCUACACACGUACUACAAUGGCCAGUACAACGGGAAGCGAAGCCGCGAGGUGGAGCCAAUCCUAUCAAAGCUGGUCUCAGUUCGGAUUGCAGGCUGCAACUCG
Molecule: ribosomal RNA, 539 nt
Filed under: uncultured bacterium
Lineage: Bacteria
Description: bacterial SSU rRNA
Rfam family: Bacterial small subunit ribosomal RNA
Source: RNAcentral